GCCUCAGUCAACACGAUAGCUCAGUUGGUGGAGCAUGAGACUCUUAAUAUCAAGGUUGUGGGUUCAAGCUCACGUUGGGCA
Podarcis lilfordi (Lilford's wall lizard) is the source of this 81-nucleotide non-coding RNA. The record is from the annotation of a GenBank genome assembly. NCBI's taxonomy places the organism in Eukaryota, Metazoa, Chordata, Lepidosauria, Squamata, Lacertidae.